This is a long non-coding RNA of Salvelinus sp. IW2-2015, 2280 nucleotides long. RefSeq lists it as uncharacterized. Lineage: Eukaryota; Metazoa; Chordata; Actinopteri; Salmoniformes; Salmonidae. The record is from RefSeq and is a predicted model, not a curated record.
GCCCUUUAAUUCAAUUGAGCAAAACAAAUGUCCUCCCCAUUGAUACAAAUCAGAAUGAUAGAAUUCUGUCAGGUAGGCCUACAUUGCCUUCAACAUUUAACUGGAGCGGUUUUUAGGGGAAAGCCUUUAGAAAUGUUCAUGCUGUUGGAUUCGGGGUGAAACAUUGUUAUACUCAAAGGUAUAGGAACAUUAGUUACAAAAGAGACAUGAGGGGUGCCAUAAUGAAGCUUGGGAGGGGCUGAGUGCAAGGGAAACGAUCGCAUGUGGCAGUACUGAUAAGGGGAGAAACCGUUGAAGGAUCAUGUCACUUAGCUCCCUGCUUAGCAAGAUUGAUGCAAUGUUUAGCGAUAAGGAGGAGACUCCACCCAAAGUGGGGUAUGAAUACUACCACGGGGCAAGCCAUAUCUGUGUCUGAAUUACAGCUGUAACGACCCUUUGGGAAGAAUUAAACUUGGUUAUGCUUCUCUAGAAACUAACAGUUGGCGUUGUCGGCAGGAUUCACCACAAUUUGUAGUAAAACCAGAGUGUCCAGAUCAGUGGAGCAGGAGCUGGUAACAGACAAGGUUUCGUGGAACAUAAGAGUGAUCAUUGUCCCAGAGGAGGGACUGRUGUAUAUUGACUAAUUGAUUUGAGAAUGUUUUAGUAUGUUUAUAACUGUAGAAGUGCAUUAGGAGUAGUGACUAGUGUGUUAUGGGUUAAAUGGAAUGAUAUAUGUGCAAAUGUAUCUGUAGCAGGAGGAGAGGUGUUUGAGACAGAAUGUUAACAUAGGGCUGUUAAGUGGGAUGGAACGUGACUGCAGUGAAGAUCUGUGGGGGCUCAUAAAUAAAGGUUGUGGUGAUGGAGAAGUAUCAUUCCCAGAGACUGUAUAUUGUUACAGGAGAUAGCUCAUAGGAGAGGAAGGACAGCUAACUSUACACAAUAUAGGGAUUUAAUUCAGUUAAAUUGAACAUUACACAUACCCAGAGAUAGUGGUGGCAUUUCAGACACUAUGGUAAACUUUCAAGAAACCUGUGACUCAGAGUUUUGUUAGGCUGGAUAUUCUUCCAAUUUAUUAAUCUCUUUCCCAAUUUCUAACCGCCGGCGAACACUUGACAGAUUACAUGCAGAAGUUAUUCUCACGGCAGUCGCUGUAGGGACCGUAAUAGAAGGAGGCUAUAAUCAUGGGCCAUGUUAAUAGUAGCAGGAGUUACUUUAGUAGCAUUGUUGGGAUAUCAGGUUAUGAGUACUCAUGCCACAUGGCUUGGUAACUGGUAACUGGGAAACCGAUGGGAGUACAGAGRUGGCUAUUAUUCAAAUGUCACAAAUUAGUGAUCUUGCCAUAAUAGGUGAGUCUAUGUUGUCGGGAAAUGACCCAUGUGUUGCAGUGUGUAUAUCCUCAGGUGAAAGCAGAGAUAUAAGCAAGGGCACGGGCUGAAUUCUGGAGACUGAGUGUUCAUCAAGAGACACCAGGCGGGGGUGUUGGGACAGCGUUGGUAUGGUCCACACACACUACUCCUUACAGCACCUGCAGCGGUAAAGAUCGUCAUGUCUCUCCUCGGUGGGUGCAUAGUUCUCAUGUGAAGUGAGAUCCAGCUGCAUAAUCGGUGAGCUUGAAGACACCAUGACAGAGGAAGCGGAGCGAAAGAGUGAGACCGACUAGAAUCCACUGUAAGACAUGCAGAUGGGUUGGGUCUGGGAGCUACGUUAAACAUCAUAGUUGGGUUAGCUGCUUUAUUGGUUAAUGCAUCAUAUGAAAGAGGAUAGAUGUUGGGGUAAUUAAUUGUACUCUAAACAACAUGUUGAAGGCAUUGAUGUGAAAGCAUAUACAAUGCUGAGUUACCUCAAGAGGAUGUAGGGUUGUGGCAAUAAAGGAGAUGGGGAACAAAGUGAAGAUGACAUGACUUGGGAACACCUCUCGGAACCUGGGGCCGGAMAGCGGAAGWCUGGGCAAAAGCAUGAGGAGGCUUUUUAGGGCUUUCAUUUUUGUGGAAUCCAGCAGAAAAGUAUCCUGGMGGCAUAGAGUCAGGUGAAGAGAGAGUGGGAAUUGUCAUGGUCUCAGACUUUGGUUUUUAUGCAUAUAUAAUUAUGCGUAGCUUAUCACAUUGUUAAUACUGUUAUGUUUUGUGUGUCUUUUUGUUGCUUUCCAAGUCUUAUGCUAUCACUCUCUUAGGAACCAGAUGGAGAAAGUGGAGAAACAAAAAGCCGCUCCAGCUGACAUGGAACAAGACAGCAGAUUCAGCUGGAAUAUCAUUUUGUUGUGUGCUGAGAGAUGGAAAUAAAAUUGUGUAUGGUGUGAUCAUA